AUUUUCAUUACUUGAAAUUUUAGUUAGCGGGUUAGCUUCAUGAGAUGUUAUAGUAUAGUAGGUAUUUUCUGAAAAAACGGGUUCAUCCAAAGUUCAAAGCUUUUGGACUAUUAAGAGAACACUCAAGGCACUAUAAACACUAGCCCAUUUCAGUGGUUUUGGUGGCUGAAGUGCCCUGGUUCUCUCACAGGUUAAGUAGUCAAACCAAUCAAGAGCAGUUUGACAAAUGACUUGUGGUCUACCAGGUGCCGUGUAGGGCCAGCUUAUUGGCAAAGAGCGUUAGCUGAGUUAAGUUACGCACCGCUGAGCUAGGCUCAGUGCUGCAUGUUCUGGAGACCCAGGAGAUGACUAGCUCUCGCUGGACCUCAGGUAAGCUGUCAAACCAUUCUUUAAAAGUUAGUGGGCUGUAGUGGUUAUGGUGUACUUUUAAAUCUGAUAAAUAAAAUGCAGAAACAAUUUUUUUUGUAUAUAUUGCAGCAAACUGAUUAUACAAAUGUAAAUAUUAUCUAAAUUUAUUUUUAUGUGUUUUAAUUA
Molecule: non-coding RNA, 534 nt
Organism: Pelobates cultripes (western spadefoot toad)
Lineage: Eukaryota; Metazoa; Chordata; Amphibia; Anura; Pelobatidae
Source: the annotation of a GenBank genome assembly